GACGAGAAAGUCUGAGCCACAGACCACUUUGAGUUCCAUCUAGAUGCUACAAGAGCUGCAGGAGGCUUUGAACUGACACGGUAGAGUUCCUUGGACAGCCCAGGGAAGGGCCCCCACCUUCGUUGCUCCCUUCUCCUGUCCCCCCACCUACCAAAACACAGCAGCCCCAUCUUCAGACAGAAGGCACGCUGCCUCGAGGAGGCUCACAGUUCCAGCCUUUAGAACCAUCCAGAGGUUAGACUCAGGGCACAACCAUCAGACGAAGUGGGAGGAAGAAACAUUAACUUCAACAGCUGUUUCUUGACCCCGGCUGUCAGUCUUCCCAAGAAUAAAUUUUGGAGAGUCCUAUUUGAAACAAAGAGGGAGUUUUGGGGGAGAGAAAAGUUGGUUGGUUCCAGGGCAGCCGCCCAAAGAAGCAGGGAACAAGAUGUUUGCAGUUACCACGCAGCCUGCAAGCCUCUGCCGGGUGCAGGCAAGGAGCAAAGUAACUUGAAAGCUCCCCUCUCGGCGCCCUGUGCCUGCAGCUUCCCCCCCUAACGCGCGCCCAGAUCCAGCGCCGGUGGUAAGAGCCGAAGCUCGACUACAGUAAUUCCCCAGCUCGGGCGGCUUGAAACUGCUCGGGCUGAAUAGCAUUUGCUGUUCCGUCCUGUGGCAGCCUCCCGCCGCCGCUGCCGCGCUCCCUGCAAAGCAGCUCUCAUUAUCCCGGAAGUUGUGCUGACACAGUCUCGCUGCCACCAGAAGUUUGUCAACAUCAAACUUCUCCUGUGUGGGGUACGUUCACCUUCCACGAGUAUUUAAUCGAGCCAACAAGCAAACAAACAAACCCAAAUAAACCUGCCCGUGAUGUCAUGGUC
Long non-coding RNA from Mus caroli (Ryukyu mouse), 854 nucleotides. RefSeq lists it as uncharacterized. NCBI's taxonomy places the organism in Eukaryota, Metazoa, Chordata, Mammalia, Rodentia, Muridae. The record is from RefSeq and is a predicted model, not a curated record.